CCAGUAUUUUCAGAGACAGAUAAACCUGUUUCUUUGAAUUACACUGAUGCACAGUAUGUGGAUGUAGUCCAUACCAACUUCAAUGACAAUGAACCUGUGGCUGCUUUGGGGUUUUCCAGACCAGUGGGCCAUGUUGAUUUCUACAUAGGCAACGGACAUCAGCAUCCUGGUUGCCCUCAGGCGCUCGCACACGGUGAACAGUACUUGCUUUGCAGCCAUCACCGUGCCUUCCAGCUUUUCACCAGCUCCAUCCAGGCGCCAUGCAAAUUCAUUGCUCUUCCCUGUGAGAGUGUGUCUGACUUUAGGAGGGCUCUCUGCACACGUUGUAACCUGUCAGAGCUUGGUGUCUGCCCACAGCUGGGAUAUGACAUCAGCUGGCUGCCUCCAAGCCGUCCCAUCCGCUUCAAGCAAGUCACAGCCAUCCUGGACAUCUCAG
Long non-coding RNA from Myripristis murdjan (pinecone soldierfish), 436 nucleotides. RefSeq lists it as uncharacterized. The record is from RefSeq and is a predicted model, not a curated record. The transcript is spliced from 4 exons. NCBI's taxonomy places the organism in Eukaryota, Metazoa, Chordata, Actinopteri, Holocentriformes, Holocentridae.